RNAcentral lists this ribosomal RNA (496 nucleotides) under uncultured bacterium. RNAcentral's name for it is "bacterial SSU rRNA". It matches the Rfam family "Bacterial small subunit ribosomal RNA", at positions 31 to 518 of the family's 1533-position model. The record is from RNAcentral.
GAACGCUAGCGACAGGCCUAACACAUGCAAGUCGAGGGGCAGCACAAGGAGCAAUCUGAGGUGGCGACCGGCGCACGGGUGAGUAACACGUAUGCAACCUGCCUGUAAGACGGGGAAUAACCCGUUGAAAGACGGACUAAUACCGCAUAAUACUAAAUUACUGCAUGGUAAUUUAUUUUAAACAUUUUAUGGCUUACAGAUGGGCAUGCGCAUGAUUAGCUAGUUGGAGAGGUAACGGCUCCCCAAGGCAACGAUCAUUAGGGGUUCUGAGAGGAAGGUCCCCCACACUGGUACUGAGACACGGACCAGACUCCUACGGGAGGCAGCAGUGAGGAAUAUUGGUCAAUGGACGAGAGUCUGAACCAGCCAAGUCGCGUGCAGGAAGAAUGUCCCUAUGGAUUGUAAACUGCUUUUGCAGGGGAAUAAAGUGCAUCACGUGUGAUGUUUUGUAUGUACUCUGCGAAUAAGGAUCGGCUAACUCCGUGCCAGCCGCCGC